AGGGCACCACCAGGAGUGGAGCCUGUGGCUUAAUUUGGCUCAACACGGGAAACCUCACCAGGCCCAGACACUAGAAGGAUUGACAGAUUGAGAGCUCUUUCUUGAUUUGGUGGAUGGUGGUGCAUGGCCGUUCUUAGUUGGUGGAGUGAUUUGUCUGGUUAAUUCCGAUAACGAACGAGACCCCAGCCUAUUAAAUAGGCAGCGGAUCAGAGCUUCCGCAUUGUCUUCUUAGAGGGACAAGGCAGCUUCAAGCUGCAUGAAACGGGGCAAUAACAGGUCUGUGAUGCCCUUAGAUGUUCUGGGCCGCACACGCGCUACAAUGAAAAAGGCAGCGUGUUUUCCUGGCUUGAUAGAGCUGGGUAACCCAAUCAAACUUUUUCAUGAUUGGGAUUGAGGUUUGCAAUUAUCCUUCAUGAACGAGGAAUUCCCAGUAAGUGCAAGUCAUAAGCUUGUGCUGACUACGUCCCUGCCCUUUGUACGCACCGCCCGUCGCUACUACCGAUUGAAUGAUUUAGUGAG
RNAcentral lists this ribosomal RNA (519 nucleotides) under uncultured eukaryote. RNAcentral describes it as "bacterial SSU rRNA". It matches the Rfam family "Eukaryotic small subunit ribosomal RNA", at positions 1161 to 1705 of the family's 1831-position model. The record is from RNAcentral.